This is a long non-coding RNA of Chinchilla lanigera (long-tailed chinchilla), 5184 nucleotides long. The record is from Ensembl. NCBI's taxonomy places the organism in Eukaryota, Metazoa, Chordata, Mammalia, Rodentia, Chinchillidae.
GUAAGUUUAGCGCUUUCAUGAUCUAAUCACUUUUCAAAGACCACCCCCGCUGAACGCUGCUGCACCGGAGGCCAAUCCUUGACCACAUGAGCUUUUGGGGAAUGUUUCACAUCCAAACCCUAAAUACACAGCACUGGAGUAAAAACUGUCCAUUACAGCAAUCACUGUUUGUAGGAAAUUCCCACACUUUGGUAAACAACAUGCUCGGGAGCUCAGGGCUGCCCAGGAAGCUAACUAACUGUGCUUUCCAUAGCACAUUUCACAUUCUCACAGCUUCUACUUCUAUCCCAGAGGACCAGGCAGGCUGUAGGGUGUUGGGGUCAGAGGAAGUGGCACUAAUGGAGACAUUGAGGUAAACAUCCCAUUCUCCAGGGUAGCCCUAACAGCCUAAAGAAUACCCAUACUUGCAAAGGAGUUUGGAGUUUUAAUAUAACAGUUCUGGCCAUAUUAAUUUAUAAAUCUGUAUCAGUUAGGAUUUGCUAGAGGAACAGGUUUACUAUAAAACAUAUAUAUAUGAUAUAGAAAGCAUUCACAGUGUAGGCUUACAAUGACUGCCUGUAAAGUCAGUGUGGAAGAAUGCAAAAAGGCUAUCUGCAGGCUGGAAAGCCAGAGGAUCCGAUCAAAAGCCAAAGGCCUGGCUCUCACUGUAGAGUCCUGUGUGAGCCGGUAUCAAGAAGCUGAAGUGUCUGGAGUGGAAGGCUGAAGAGUCUGUGGUGAUUGGAAGCCUAGAGAUGGGUGUCGAAAGGUGCUGGCGAAGCCUGGAGCUCCUCCAAAGAAGCAGAAGCAAGACUUCUUUCUUUGCCUUUUCAUUCUAUCCAGGCUACAAGUCUACACACACUCAGAUACAAGGCUACAAGGCUACAAGUCUACACACACUCAGAUUGGAUCUUUCCUCUUUGGUAAGUCCAGCAUCCAGACACAUCUAGAACUGUGCUAAAUGAGUCAGGUAGGCAUUCUUUAUUCAAGUUGACACCAUGGUUAACUAUCACAAGGCUGUAAUACAGGUCUCAGGUGAUCUGAGACAUUAUAUAGCCUGAGAUAAUCAGAGAAUCAGAAGACCUUUCAAAUAUUUCAUCUAAGGGGGAGGAAAGGGCCGGGGAUAUAGCUCAGCAGUAUAAGUGCCUGCCUGGCACACGCAAGGUCCUGAGUUCAAUUCCUGGUGCCAAAAAAAACCAAAAAAACAAAAAACCAAAAAACCAAAAAGAAAAGCUUAAGCUAAAGGGGAGGAAAGAGGUGAUGCAAAAGAGGAUUUAAAUGGUAGAGUGAGGGAAUGCAUCUUAGAGGUAUGGUGUUUGUUCAGCAUGUAUGAGGUCCUUGGUUCAAUCUCCAGCACUAAGCAAACAAAACAAAACAAAGCAAGACAUGUAAUAUAACAACCACUGUUAAUUCCUACCAUCUUGUUUUGAAAUCCUGUAUUAUUUUUAUUGGUUUUGUGUUGUUUUGUUUUUGCUUUGUUGUUAUUUUGUUGUUUUUUUCUCUUUAAAACAAUAACAACAAAAAACCAAGACAAAACAAAACAAAACACCCAAAUGGUCAAUUGGAGAUUUAGAAUAAGUUGUUUUCCCUUUGCUCUCUAGGAGUCCAGGUUGUUCAAUGUGAUCAUUCAGUUAAUAUUACUGUCUACUUAGAUCAUCUCAAUCCAGGCUAGGUCUCACCCUUUAAGCCGUGACAACCACAUCUUCUUGUCUUCUGGUGGACAUGCUCUGCUACUGCCAGAAAAAUCUACCUGAUCCCUGAACUUCGCACUGCUACCUGACUCUCAGGUCAGCUUGUCUCAGUCUUUAGAGAGAAAGUCAGAUCCUUCAGAUGGGAGGAAACACUCCAUUUCUUCUGUAUUGCCAGAUGGAGCUUAGAACUAUAUUUAGAGAAUUAAUUGUAAAUUAAUAAAUAUGUUGCAAGUAUAUAAUGGAUGUUUCCACUGUUUAAAAACAGCAUAUUCUUUUAAGCAGGUAGACUAUUUCCUCUGUAAUCUUAUUUUCUAUAUUAGGCUAUCAUCACAUUUUCACAUAAUGUAAAAAGAAACUUUUAACUCAAUUUGAAUUUUAGGAGCUUAUUCUAUUCCUGUUAAAAAUCUAUUAGCAGAUCCAAAGUCAAAUUUUAAUUUAUGUGUAUUGUAUUCUAUAAAAUAUGUCUACAAGAUUACCAUUUUUUAAAGAUUACUAUAUAUAUAAUAUUUCACAAUAUUUGAAAUGGGGCAUUUCACAUCUUUGCCAUUACCCUCAGAGAGGCUUUCUAGGCCCAGUUCUCUUAUUCUAUCUAAUUACAACUUCAUUUUAAAAGCAGCCGGGAGCGUAUAUGCUCUGAGCAUUUAAAAAUGUUACAUUUAAUGUAUCUAAUGAGUUUUUAAUUCCAGUAUAACUGACAAAAAUAAUUGAAAAACAGAAUUGCUAAUGGAAGUACGCUUCUCUAUGAAAGUAAUUUACAUUACCAUAAAAGAACUCUAAGUUCAUUAUAGAAAAUUUGAAAAUCACAGGAAAGCAUAAAGAAUAAAAUAAAAAUCAGAUAUAAUCAUACCACUACUUCUAACCCAUUCUUGAGAUUUUCCAGUCUUUUCUAUUUUUCACAGUUGGUAAAAUAAUGCACAUACUUUGUAAAACCCUGCUAUUUUCCCCACUGAACAUUAAAUUGAAGCCAUAUUUUUUCCUUUGCUGUAUAGUAAUCUCCAGCAACGUAGUUUGGAAGACUGAAUUGUAUUCUAUUAUAUUAUAAUGUGUCAUAAUUUACUAUAUUAUAAUGUAUUUGUGUAUAAUACCAUAGAGAAAUAUAUAGUCUCAUUCUAUUACAAUUUAGGAAUUCUCAGCAUCCUUAUAUUUAGAAAUGUAAAAAUUUGGUAUGUAGUUUCUAGCAUGUAUUCAAGUUUGGUCUUUUAAUCCCACCGUCAAUAAUCCUAAUUUAGUUUUGCCAAAAUGCAUUUACUUUGUAGUCUGUAUACAAUUGCAGUCCUUUAAAUUUGGCAAAAAGAAAAAGGCACUAAAUUGUUUAGGCUUCUGAAGUUGCAGUCUCUACCCGUGGCCUUUCAUUUCUGCUUUCACUUCCGUCUUUAUCCUUCGUUAGACAGCCAUUUACUCCUCCCUCUGUUUUCCUUCAAUAUGAAGUUUGCUUCCACUGGAUCUCUUCCUCCUAGUUGCUCAUUACAGAAAACACAGAUAACACACAGAAGGCUUGCAUUUGCCUGUGAAUUAAGAGUGGAACUAUCUAUCAUCAUACUGAAGUAUAAAGUCAGAGCGCCAGGUUUUAAAUUUAUCCAAUGAAAUUGUCAGUGGUCUGAAGCUUGCCAAGUCUGUAUGACUAACACUUUCUUUUGCUGAAGAUAGGUCUUUAAGGAAAGGCAAACAUAAAUUUACUUAAUAGGAAUGAAAUCAGAGCAAGAGGUUUGGGAUUUGACCUCUGGAGUGCUCAGUGGUACAGGCUAAGGUAGCCUGAUAUGUGCAUCCUUAUAAUUAAGGUUUAGGGUGGAGUUAGGGUUAGGCUAAGAAAUCCAUCAAGGAAAUGAGCACCAUCUUCACACCCGCCCUGUGAGACAGCCCGCUGACCUCUUUGAUACAUCUCCAUGGUGUGCUUUCCUUUUCUUUCUUGUUUUUCUCUUUUCUUUUCUUUUUUUUUUUGUCUUUUUGAGACAGGGUCUCACUAUGCAGUUCAGACUGGCCUUGAGCUCACUUUGUAGCCCAGGCUGGUCUUGAACACACAAAGAUUCUCCUGCCUCAGCCUCCCUAGUGCUGGGAUUACAGGUGUGCACCACUACGCCCAGCUUUUUUUUCUUUUUUUCUGUACCAGGAAUCGAACUCACAACCUUGCACUUUCCAGGCAGGUGCUGUGCUGCUGAGCUAUAUCCCCGGCCCUUGUGCCUUUCUUUUUAAAAGUUCUGCAUUGGCAACUUGCUUCUUUUUUCACUCUCCUUCCUGGUUGUCCAUGAUCUCUGCUGUCCUGAUCCUCCUCCAAAGUCUUAUUAUUCUUUUUCUGUCUUUCCUCUGAAUUUUAGUCCUGGAUCUCUGAAGAAGCAGGUUUAUAUAAUUUCUUGGGGUAGCUGCUGAUGUAGGUCACUGAUGGCAUCCAGAUCAAUGGCAACAUGACGCUUCUUACCUCCCUAGUGGGUGGGUGGGACCAUGUGAUGGCUUUUGUUCUUUAAUUUAUGAACAGAAGUAAUGCCUGCCGUUUCUAGGUUAGAACAUUUAACUGCCAUUACAAGACUCUCUUUUAUUUUGCUACAGAGAGUGAUGCUCCAUGUGGGUGUUUGCUCAUAAACCCGAAUCACAGAGUGAGAGAGAUGCUGAGGAGAUAAUUCCUGGUCACUUCUUGACAGAAUGGAUGAGAAAUCAACGUUCGAUGUAUGAAGUCACUGAUAUUUGGGGAAUCUUUGUUAUUACAGUACAGCCUAACUCUACCCUGAUUGAAAUAGUUUUUUAUUUUUUAUUUUUAACUCACCUUGUCCCUUGAUGGGUUUGGCUUUAUAUUUAUACUCCAAUCAAAUGAAUUCCAAGCUAAGAGGCUAAACCAGAUUGAUCUUCUGAGCUCAGGCCUCAGUUUACUGAUUACCCUGUCAUAGCUUCAGUUCCCAUAAGAACUUCAGUCUGAUUGCUCUGCAAGGUACCUCAGAUUGACCCUAUCCCCAAUCUUAUCAUCUCUCCCUUGACUGCUUCUGCUUUUCUGUUGCCAUUCAGUUAAUGGCACUAUUUCCCCCGAUUACCUUAGCAUUUUAACUCUGGAAAUGUACAAAUAUCCUCCUCAUGGGCCGGUCUUACUGGUGGCAAGGUUCUGAAAGCAGAAAGCGCAAGUCCAAACAUAAAGUCCAGCAACCAGAGGCUGGAUGGAGUUGUAGCCAUUGGAGUCCCACAGGAUCUUCACUCUUCAAUUCUUCUUGACAUUGAAGAGUUAGGCUCACUUUUCACGUGGACUGACUUUUCUUCUCCAUUGGUUUGCUGAAAGUAAAAACAAUCAUCUUCCCUAUCAACCACCUAAAAAGAGCCCUCCCCCUGCCAUUAAAAGGUCAUUUGUAGCAAAGGAUGACCGUCAAGCAUUCGGUCUGCUGCAGGCUCCAUGAACUGUGGUAGGGCUCUCUGGGCUUCACUUUCUUGUCUCCAUUACAUAGUUGUUGAAGAGCUGGCAUCUAGCCCCUAAAUGCAGCCAAGAAAGGGAAAUCAAGGCUGAUGUUGCAAUGGUGAGGUAAUAUCAAAUCUAUGGUCCCUG